UGCCUCACAACCAAUCAGGUCAGAGGAGGUGGAGAACGGACUUUUGAAUAUUGACUUAUAUUAAAAGAUUUUUUGUUUAUACACUGCAAAUAAAGAUGCUUCUUUAACGGAUUACUGCCGACCCCACCUUUUUAAGUAAGUUAGAUACCCUAACUCCUAAUGGGCGAAUGAUUUGGUGGGUUGUUAGCCUUAGCGGUACUAGCACAGCGUCUACGAGGUCAUGCUAGUUUCCAGUUUUGAAAAUCUAGGACUUCAAAAGCAAGUGGCUGAUUCAGUCGGGUGUUAGCUUUUCCAAACUCGCUUUAGAUGCCGAUGUUAUGGUUUAACUUUACAUGAUAAUCUCACGUGUUGAUGUCCAGCCAAGCUAGCAGCCAAUCAACAGCACUGUGAGCAUACUGACUAUUCAGAUCAUACGUCAACAUCGCCACCAUAUCGAUAGUAUGUAGAAUGAUGUCAUACGGUCCGGUUGGUUGCUAGCCUUGAAAACCAAAGACCGGUUUGGUUGAUAACUGGAUCAGUUUGUGGUUUUGUUGGAGAUUUAGACUUCCUGGACUUUUCGGUGGCCUUUAUCUUUGACCUUUUCCCCGCGGCGUCCUUAAACAGGUUGUGUUUGGUCGCGGUAACGUCGUGUCCGACACGAAAACCCGAACCGUGUUCCUAAAACCGCGUUUAGCCGGAGAGACUCUGAAGUUCGAAGGAGAGAAAACAAAAGAGGAAUUGAAAAGUGUUUGCAGACUCGUUUCAUGGAGCGUGUACACACACUGACUCACUGUUUUUGUUUUCUGUUUUGUGUGUGUGUGUGUGUGUGUGUGUGUGUGUGUGUGUGUGUGUGUGUGUGUGUGUGUGUGUGUGUUUGGGGUGUGUGUUUUCAGCUGCCCUGUGUGAGUAGGUGUUCACAGCAGCUCCCGGCGGGCUCCACACAUUCAGCUACUGAAGCCUUGUUAGAGCUUAUAAUGAGCCAUAAAAGUGCUCAGCUGUAUCCAACAUGCAUCACCUGUCUGCACACGAACACACACACACACACACACACACACACACACACACACACACACUCCCGCAGGAACAAAUAAAGCCAUAUUGUCCCCAGUCUGAUUGCUGUGAUAAUUAAUGUAGCAUACGACCAGAAAAACACACUGAGGCCAAUUAGAGAGAGAGAGAGAGAGAGAGAGAGAGAGAGAGAGAGAGAGAGAGAGAGAGAGAGAGAGAGAGAGAGAGAGAGAGAGAGAGAAACUUGGAGGUAGAUUACAAUCAGACAAAUCUCUGUUUUGGUUUCUAAAACCGACGAUGAAAAUGUUUGAACUGUCGCACAUUUAAAGUUCAUAAUAUCUUCAACCGUCACUUCAAAUAUGAACGAUUUCACUUUCUCUCCAUCGUGAAGAAGGAAAAACUGAUAAAUAAGAACGAGGGAGAGUCAUGGAGGUCCAGAGAACUCGUUCCUGUCCGGUGUACUCACACUUACCCGAGAUUUCCACUGCAUCCUGAAUGGCUCUGAUGUGGAACAGCUGUAAUUUUUGCCGAUAUCAAGUUGUCUCUCUAAAGACAGACACAUAGACAUAUAAGCAGUAGAUUGUGUCCUUCCAGAGGAGGAAAUCUACUUCUAGACUUCUAGAAUCAGCAUCUCCUCAUCCAUGGUGUCAUCGGGGUGAAAUGACGUCUAAAAACCUUUCACUUGUUCGUCUCGUCUCUUUCACUUUGUGUCUGUGCCCGACUUCCUUUCCAGCACGGGUUAAUCUGUGCUGAAUUUAUCCGCCAUGCUCCGGCGUCCAGAAAAAAUAGAACUCUUGUGAUCAGCUGAGGAGUCCGGCGAUCUGCAGAGGAACGGAAAGAAGUCGGUGUAAAUUGACACGUUAACUUGAAUGGUUACGAUCAGCUACGAUCGGAGGAUACGACCUUUUAGGAGACGAUCAGGAUGAAGGUGGAGAUUUGGGGGUUAGACAACCUAUCUCACCUCUACCUUCAGGCUGAGUUCAUGUUUUGAUCAGGCUGAUUGACUCCAGCUCUUUUGCGUCCGGUCUCUCCCAUCAUUAAUCAUUAAAGCGAAACGAUCGUCUCAGAGCUGUUUUCACGAGAGUUUGUCUACAAGAAAGUUCUUGAAAUCCUCCUGGAGUGAAGACAAUGGAACCUGGAAGGUGUUUUUGAAAACUCUUUAAAACUCUUAUUAACCAAAUGUAAGUCCUUCUCCACCAAAAGUACCAGGAACUUUUAGCUCCAGGAACAUUGAAAUAAACGGCCCGUUGUCUCAGUUUCCACCACGGUCUGAUGGUGAGUUCAUGAAGUCACUUGUAGAUCGUUCUAUCGUCCUAUGGCGCCUCUUCGUUUUCUACACCUCUCUGUUUGAAGAUCGUGUUUGUGUGUAAAUGAAGCGCCCGUCGAUAAUGUCCUGAAAACUGUUCAACAUCCCCAGGUAUGAAAAAGAGUCAUAACUGAAGUUUGAACAAAGAGUUACCUGUUUUAAGUUCCUGGACCUGCAGAGGGUACUGUCUCCUGGGGUAGGGACUUUUGAAGGGUAGAUCGAGAACCGAAUGAAGACUAAUGUCACAUCCUGUUAUUUUAUGCUCAGGUUAAACGUCUUUUCUAGUUUUUGUAAAAAGUAUCUGUUUUUAAACUGUUUUUUAGAGAAUAGAGUCUGUUUUGGUGUCAUGUGUCUGCGUCAUUUCACAAUAAUCAUUAACAGUCAGAGAAACAGGCGGGAACGAGGUCUGUGUGUUUUUCACACUCGGUGGGUUUUGUUGAGGCUUCAGGAGUGACGUCCAGGCGUAAUUAAAAGCAGCAGAGCCGCUUUCACCUCACAGCCUGGAAACAUGUGGCAACUUGUUAAUUUACCUCCUCCCAGAGUCUCCCAGAGGAGAGGAGAGGAGGAGGCAGAUGGGAUGGAGUCACCUGAGGCAGCAGCAGGAGGAGGAGGAGGAGGAGGGGACUCCUAUUAAGACCAAGUUUAGCUCCCGUCACAGAGAAAAGGAUGUUACUGUAUUAAAAACUCUGUAAAUGACUUUUUGUGAAUGUAGAGUCGAGUGUCUUAAAGAUGCUCCGAACCGCUUACUUCUCUAGUUAUACCAACUUUAGUAACGACCGCACAGAGCCACGCCCUCAACCAAAAGGCCACUCUAUAGCCACAAAUAAUGCUCAGAACAGCACCUAACUUCAUCAACAGGACAUAUAGGGUCACAGACAUAGUACUAUAUUCAGAGUUGUUCUAACUCCUAAGAAAACAAACUUAAGCGGGGGCGUUUCUCCACCUCUGUAGUCUAUAAGCUGGGCCAAUAAACUUCUACUGUAGUAAAAUGAAAAGGUAAAGGUGUUUUUAUUGAGCCGAAUUAUCAAUAAAAUCAUGAUUUUGUUAACAGGUAUGGAUUUAUGUGCUGUUGAGUUAAUAUAUUUGAACAAGAGCACAGUAAAGUUAAAUCAGAUAAUUUUCCAAUGAGGUUCUGUUACUGAACGGAACUACACCAUGAUCUACUGAGGUUAGUACAUAUAGGGUCACAGCCAUAGUACUAGACACCAAACAUCUUUUUAACUUUGACUCAUUUCUUUAGCAAAGAGACUAAACACAACUCACCUACUCUCUUCCAGCAGACGCUUGUUUGUAGAGAGACCUCAGCCCAGUCCAUUACAGACUACAGCGGGGUGCUGCAGCUCAAGGAAGAACAUUUAUGAUCAUUUCUUUAUCAUUUCCUUGAAGUAAUAAUCACCAUAUCAAUCAUUUUACAGACGCGGUAGUUCUUCUGUCUUAGCGUCUCGGUCUGAUUGUAUUUCCAUGAAGAAAUGAUCAUAAAUGUUCUUCCUUGAGCUGCGGCACCCCGCUGUAGUCUGUAAUGGACUGGCCUGAGGUCUCUCUACAAACAAGCGUCUGCUGGAAGAGAGUAGGUGAGUUUGUGUUUAGUCUCUUUGCUAAAGAAAUGAGUAUUUAAGUGAGUUUAUGAGUUAAUGAGUUUAUUUAUGAGUAUAAGUAUUUAACCAGUAAAUUCUUUAAAACUCCUCCUCUGUAGCUUUUGAGGUGAGGCGCUCUUCAUGUGUGUUUCGCUCACGUAUAUCGCGGCCAUAUCGCGCGCUGACAGCUUGAAAUGAAAAACAGGAUUGUAAAAAAUUCCUAGCGUCCGUCUCCUGCUGCCACAGCACAGAUUUACAGCAGCUGAUGUGAAUUAUUUCAUUUCAAUGUUAAUUAUCCUCCUCUUUAAAACGUCACAGCUUCUCUUAAUAUCCUCCAGAGGUUAACACGCGGGUUAAAUACAUUUCACUGAGCCUAUUAUCCAGAACAGCGUUACCCACAAUCCACUUCACCUGUUUAACAAGUUUGACCCAUUUAAAGUUAAACGUCCUUCAUCGUCUCAAACGCAUGUUUUGAAAUGAAAUGCGACCCGAGACGUUUUGGCAUCAGAAUGAUAAAUAACGUGACUCAGAGCGCUAUAAUACGACUAUUUCGAGUCUAGUUUCCAUGACAACGAGAAGAUCUAUUUAAAUUUUGACAUUCAUAAUAUAUGACAUCUUACUGCACACUUCUUAAAUAUAGACAUCUUCAUCCCUGUAAUACGUAAUCUGAAACAAACUGAACUUUUCGAUAAAUACGAUAUUUCACCUCCGAACGUUUGAAAACAUGUUUCUCAGUGAUCUGAAUCAAACUCCUGCUCGGCUUUAAGUGGUAAAUAUGUGUGAUCGACAGUUUAUAGACAGUGAAAUAUACAGUCUGUGUCGACAAACGAGUUCAUGUUUGUUGUUGACAAGUGUCAGGAAGAGAGUGAACAGCAGAGCUCUGCGCAGUGAAGAGUGGAGAAGUUGAUGGUUCACCUCCACCACCAAACUGACUUCAUUCGCUUCAAUACAGGAUGGAGCCGAGCGCUGUGAGCUGCUGCGAUACGAUCUUUGUGAAUCCCUCAGAUCUUCUUCGUGAAAAUACGUUUCUGUUUUGUUUUGGUUUUUCCUCCAGACAGCUCCAACCGCA
Molecule: long non-coding RNA, 4936 nt
Filed under: Xyrichtys novacula (pearly razorfish)
Lineage: Eukaryota; Metazoa; Chordata; Actinopteri; Labriformes; Labridae
Source: RNAcentral